UACGUAGGGGGCUAGCGUUGUCCGGAAUCAUUGGGCGUAAAGCGCGCGUAGGCGGUCAGGUAAGUCCGCUGUGAAAGUCGGGGGCUCAACCCUCGGAUGCCGGUGGAUACUGUCGGGCUUGAGUACGGAAGAGGCGAGUGGAAUUCCCGGUGUAGUGGUGGAAUGCGUAGAUAUCGGGAGGAACACCAGUGGCGAAGGCGGUUGCCUGGAGCUUUGCUGACGCUGAUGCGCGAAAGCGUGGGGAGCGAUCCGG
This 253-nucleotide ribosomal RNA is filed under the name uncultured bacterium. RNAcentral's name for it is "partial 16S ribosomal RNA". It matches the Rfam family "Bacterial small subunit ribosomal RNA", at positions 524 to 776 of the family's 1533-position model. The record is from RNAcentral.